UAUAUAUAUAUAUUUUAAUAGUGAGGAGGUUUAAGUUGUGAAGCUUGGCUGGAAGAACAUUGCACUGCGAGUGGAGCUGCAGUUUAAGCAGGGAGUGUAAAGGUUUUCCUGGAGGUCCUGGAUCUACUGGGCUGACGCUUGUUCAUUUAAGGCCCAGGUGUUCACACCAGCGCUAGGGUACUGUGGAACAUGUGCAGCAAAGGAGAGGGCCUUCACCCAGCCUUCCAGAUCUCCCCCUACUGGUUUUCCCCUCUGGUGUAAUGGGACGCUUCAUAAUAUCUGACCUAAGUUAAUACAUGACGUAAGUGCGCACACUACAGACAGCAGUAAUACUGAUGAAUGUAUAAGUGAAUAAACUGUUUUACCUUUUUCGAGUGCUGGGAAGGCUUUUAGCUGAAUGUUGGGAAGGAGUCAGUCGAAGAUUUGCCUGGAGGUCCUGAAUCUGCAUGCACGUCUUGGAUUUGAGUUUUGCUUUUUAACGACGCAUACGUUUAUCUAUUAGUUUGGUUUAAUACUCCGAUUAGCUCAACUUUGUUUCUCUGCACAGGCUCCGUAAAUGACCAGUUCAAAUAUUACUCCAGUGCUGGUGGACCAUGUGUAAAGCAGAAGGCUCCAGUGAUCCUGAAUGCUGGUGAACAUUAGCUGUUGUACUCUGGAGUGGUGAACAUCGGGCUGCUGCAGAAGGACAUUCUGAAGAGUGGUGUUGGGAACCUGAUGGAAACCAGUCUUCUACGUACUGACAAGAAUAUUAUGGACUUGUCCGUGCUGUCUGUCUGCACCCUAGCUGAGCUGGACCAGAACUCCUGUCAGACAACUUUGUGCUCCAAGCUUGGGCUACAGGUUGUGACCUGUCCAGGUGUUACUCCAGCACUGGGCUACUGUGGUCUAUACGUGUCGCUGAAGAUGAGGUUCUCUUGUUCCAGAUCUCCACCCAGAGCUGCAAUGCCUCUCUGAGAUGGCAUGAGACUGAUCAUUGUGUCUGAUCUCCUGAAUGCUGAUGAGCAUUGGAGCCAUCAUCCUCCUGCAUGCAGUGGUGAGCAACAUAAGGCUGGAGUGUCUGAAGAUCAGAAUUCAGUAACCUGCUCAUGACUGUUGGUAUUCUGGAUCGUUUUAAGACGUUUCUGUACAUGCUGAAAAGACAAGAUGUCCUAGGCAUUUCAGUGUUGGGCAUCUGCAUCCCAGCAGAGCUUAAGAUGAACUUCUGUUUGACAACGUCUCCAGGACUCUUUAACAUUUAGUUUAAAUGGCAUUGCUUAAAGUCCAAAUACAGGAGAUCAAAAACAUCGUGCAGCGUCAUAAGCAUCAAGCAAGCCGGUGGUGACAGUGCUGAGGAACCUAACCUUCAAUUGAUUAAAAUGGAGAAAUAAACUAAACUUUGAGAAACCAGG
Molecule: non-coding RNA, 1388 nt
Organism: Danio rerio (zebrafish)
Lineage: Eukaryota; Metazoa; Chordata; Actinopteri; Cypriniformes; Danionidae
Source: RefSeq, a predicted model, not a curated record